Cinara cedri is the source of this 273-nucleotide non-coding RNA. The record is from the annotation of a GenBank genome assembly. NCBI's taxonomy places the organism in Eukaryota, Metazoa, Arthropoda, Insecta, Hemiptera, Aphididae.
UCUGCGCUGAAAUUUCGUUUCGCUCCAUUCUGUAUUGUACGAGUACGAGAGUAUUAUAGCCGGCAGCGACAUCCGCUUCGGAAAACCUUGUGAUUUGUUUAAAACGAUAGCGCCUUUCACAUUCUGCACACGUUUCAGUUACCUCGUACCCGCCUAACAUCAUUAUCAAUUUGUAUAAUGUUUAUACGGUUGAAACCCGCGAAAACUCCAAAACUACCUACGGUCGUGGCGUGAUGUUCUUGCCGCGGUGCGUUGGUCUUCGACAAAUAAUUC